Molecule: non-coding RNA, 72 nt
Organism: Trichonephila inaurata madagascariensis
Lineage: Eukaryota; Metazoa; Arthropoda; Arachnida; Araneae; Nephilidae
Source: the annotation of a GenBank genome assembly
GGGGAUAUAGCUCUGUGGUAGAACAUUCGACUAGAGAUCGAGAAGUCCCCGGUUCAAGCCCGGAUGCUCCCU